RNAcentral lists this ribosomal RNA (813 nucleotides) under Triticum aestivum (bread wheat). Its description in RNAcentral is "partial small subunit ribosomal RNA". The record is from RNAcentral. Lineage: Eukaryota; Viridiplantae; Streptophyta; Magnoliopsida; Poales; Poaceae.
AUGUUCCUGCGGCACAGCCAUCCCGUCGUGCACCCUGACCCGGCGGUUACCGCUCCGGCCGCGCAGGGGCAGGGGCCGGUGGCUGCUGCUCCGGCUGCGGUGGCGCAGGCGCAGGGACCGGUGGCUCCCGCUCCGGCUGCGGUGGCGCAGGGGCAGGGGCAGGGGCAGGGGCAGGGGCAGGCGGCAGCGCAGGCGGCGCAGGCGCAGGGACAUGGCCCGGCUCCGGCUCCGGCCGCGGCGGCGCAGGGGGCGAACGCGAACGGGAACACGCCGCCGCCCGGGGUGCUGAUGGUGGACCCGCGGGGGGCGCCGGGGACGCGCUGGGGCCUCGCGGCCCGCCUCGCGCAGGCGCUGCUCGCGGCCGCCGCCGUCGCCUUCAUGGCCUCCACCGACGACUUCCGCACGNNNNNNNNNNNNNNNNNNNNNNNNNNNNNNNNNNNNNNNAUGAACUCACUCACUGUUGUUCUUUUGAGCAGCCUCCUGGUAGCAGCAGAGUCUUUGCAAUGCCUCUGGAGCCUCGCCCUGGCCGCCGUGGACGUCUACGCGCUUCUUGUGAAGCGCUCCUUCCGGACACCCCGUGCUACCACCAUAUAUUCCACCGGGGACUGGGUCACUGGAGCACUGAGCUUCGCUGCAGCGAGUGGGUCAGCAGCCAUGACCACUCUCAUCAACAACGACCUGCUACUGUGCUCGGAGAACCACUGCCCGACCUAUAUGGCCGCCACCGCCAUGGCUUUCUUGAGCUGGUUCGCCAUCGCGCCGUCCUGUGUCAUUAACCUCUGGGCGGCGGUCUACAGCGUGCAGAGAGCAUAG